Molecule: long non-coding RNA, 1845 nt
Filed under: Homo sapiens (human)
Lineage: Eukaryota; Metazoa; Chordata; Mammalia; Primates; Hominidae
Description: HSALNT0142579
Source: RNAcentral
GCCUGACCCUGCUUUCAACCAGGAAGUUCAAGGGAGGCAGGACUUUACGGUCAAAACUGCAAAGCCGAAGCUCAAGACUGUAAGAAGAAAGUGAUCUUCAAAGAAAAGGAUUCACCCAAAUCGAAGAGGAUAUCGUUUCGCAUCAGGGACACUCGUCUCCACACCUCCUACCUCAAAGUCCUACGCACCUACCCUUCACGUCUCUCCAAAGCAACUGAAUUAAAGCGCCUACUGGCCUUGGCGGCGCAGGUCCCAAGAUUUUGACUGAUUGGUUGUACGACUAGAGUUGCUGGAGUUCAAGUAUUUUCAUUUUAACUAUUCAACUGAAAGCAGUGCGUUACAACAGAACACGGGUUCCAAAGAAUUUACUGAGAAGAAGCAAAGUAAUACUUGGGAGAACUAUAAUACACAGGCAUCUCAUGAAAAUCAUCCAACAUAUAGAAGAAUAUAUAGAAUAAAGCAAAAAUCAUCAGAAACUCCACCGUCUUGGAUGACCAUAGUUGAUAUUCUGAAUGGCUUCUGUUCCGAUUGAACCUUGACUGAUGUAGCACCUAUCACCAAAUUGCUGUUCAGGAAAUAUGUCCUAAAGAAACUCCCAACAGCAGCAAUACAUCAGAGUGGCACCUCUUUACACUGGUUCUUGAGAAGAUGUCAGAGUGAGAUUUGCAAUAGACUCCCAGCAGCCCCCAGGAGCACCAAGUGAGAUGCCUGCCAGGCCCACUGUGUCCACUGCCCUCUGGUAGCACCUGAGGAUCAUGGGAAAGGGGCACAUCCAGAAAGGAGAUAAGAUCAGAAGCCUUUAUUUCCACUAUUCAGCCACUCACUGCCUGAGACUUAACUUCAUUUCAAGUAAGGGGAUAAUAUUUGGCCCCUAAGUAUCUUACAAGGGUUUUGUUUUCCCUAAGAGAAAAAAAAUUAGGUAAGAUCAUAAGUAAGAAAGGAUUUUUUGAAUUAAAAAUAUAUGCAAAUGCAAGUUAUAACAAUUUUUGUUCUGGAUAUUUUUGCAGUAGAUAGAAAAGUUCUUUGUGCUGUGGCCACCUGCCUAAUGCUGUUGACUGGCUGGUAAUAGAUGCCUGGGAGUCAUUUUGAGGUUACUUAGAGCCUCUUUCCACCACCAGAUGGAAGGAAAUUGGGCAACUUCUUGAGUAAUUGGCUCUUCUGACUCACGUUUCUUGCAUUGUGACCUGGGUGCUACCCAGGAUGAGCAAGGAAUUUCCUCUCUGGAGUUGUUUAAGGAAUAGCCCAAACGUUCAGCUUCAUCUUUUUUUAAUGCCGCCUCUAACACUACCUGAGCAGCCACAGAAAAGUAUUUGCUGCUGCAGUAUUUUGGAUCAGCUGAAAUAUAUUUUGAGUAUGUACUCUGGGAAAGGCACAGAAUACCAUUUCUUUACUGAGAUUCUCUUCAAGGAUUUCCAUCCCUCCUUAAAGACCUAGUUGGGAUGGAGCAAUGUAUUUAGAACAUGAUGUGAGUACCAACAAGGAGUCGGGAGACACCUUUUAGCUGUACUUCUUUAUCUUUCUCUCCUUGCUUCCUCUGUCUCUGGUUUCCCCUUUUGCAUCUCUUGUUUUUCCUUUCUUUUCUUGUAUUACUUUCUCUUGAUCAAUAGAGCUGCCAUAGCCUUCCCAGACAUAAAUAAUCAGCUUCCUUGGAAGUACUCAGAAUGUGAACAGCUGUAGCCACUUAGACCUGGUCUUAGAUUCUCACCCCUUGUUGUGUAUUGUAAUUAUCUAGGGAACUUAAAAGGUACUGAGGCAUGGGCCCCAAUGGAAUCAUUAUCCCUGGGGGGUGGGGUGGGCCCUAGACCUGGUAUUUUCAAAAACUUUCAAAAAUUAUUCUAACACAUA